This is a long non-coding RNA of Argiope bruennichi, 608 nucleotides long. RefSeq lists it as uncharacterized. The record is from RefSeq and is a predicted model, not a curated record. Lineage: Eukaryota; Metazoa; Arthropoda; Arachnida; Araneae; Araneidae. The transcript is spliced from 2 exons.
ACAAUGACUCGAAAACAUUUUUUUCCCUCCAAUUCGCUACAAAAGGCCAGAUUACUAUGAUAAUAUCGCAUUUUUAAGAGAUUAUACAUCCCAAGAGUACAAGAAAAUUGACUUCAACUGAAUUCAACUUUAUCUUAUCUUUAAAACUUACCGAACUGUCAAAAAUUUCAGAAUUCAGCUUUAAGAUGAAACUAUUUUGGAUUAUAAUUUUGUGCUCUGCAAUCCUUACUGUUGCCUUAAGCAAACCAUCAGGAGCUAAAAGGCUGUCUAGAGAAUCCUCAAAAGUGCACAGUGAUACUUUGGCUGCUCCCAGAGUGAUGGUCAAAAGAUCACCCGAAGAUGAUAAUGGAAUGAAUACUAAGGUGGGCGCGACUGAUCGCCCAGGACUGGCAGGUGGCAUAACUGGAUUUGUUGAUGGCAUUUUCAGGUUUAUUGGGGAUAUAUUCCGUUUUAUAUUUUGAGUUAAAGUAUGAAGAUCACCGAUAAAAUGCAACUGAAGCAUUUUACAAUUCUACUGUGCAAUUUCAUUGCGAUUUCUGAUAUUUAUAAAUCUUAAGUUUGAAAUAUGUAUCGGUGACUUCAUGAUAAUAAAACUAUUGAAAAACUUU